Molecule: non-coding RNA, 874 nt
Organism: Neolamprologus brichardi
Lineage: Eukaryota; Metazoa; Chordata; Actinopteri; Cichliformes; Cichlidae
Source: RefSeq, a predicted model, not a curated record
GGGUGGAGGGGAAGGAGGGGAUAAGGAGGAUGGAAACAGGGAAAGGAAAAGAGUGGGAAUUAACUGAUAUUCAGUGAAAGAGGUGUCACCUCUGUUUAGGUGCAGAUGUCGUGUCCAAGUAUGUUUCCACCAUUCAGAGAUGGAAUAGAAAAAAAUGGUACAAAUGGACAGUUAGACAUAAUUAAAGUCAUCAGGUCUAAGAUGACUUUGAGAUUUACAAUUUAAAGGAGUCCUCAGAAUCCUCAGGAAAAAAUUGCUGUUACAGGUUGCUGGCAAGUAGGGCUGUGGGUUCCAGAAAGAGCUCAUGUUAGCAGUGCUGCGGUCACAAACUUUGACAACUCAGAAGGCACAGAUGAGCACAGGCUAGUCUGCAUAAAAGAAUCUUAAAUCUGGGCCAGCAGGAUGAUGGAAAUAAGACAACAGAGAGCACAGAUGAGAUGAGGACAUCACAAUAAUUACCCAAGCAGCCUUGUGUUGACGAGCCAAACCCAUCAAAUCCUCUGGGGAAACGUUGAUUCACCAGUAUGACCCUGAGCCAGAGAAAGGAAUGACAAAGUAACACCCUCAGAUGAAGCACCAGGCAACUCACAAUGACACCUUAGGAAACUACCAGACAGAUCAUAGUUAAAUGGGGUUUCUCAAAGAUGUAAGAUGUAAAAUCCUUCCCCAAAAGUCAUUAUCCCAUCACAGCUCUGGACUGAUCACACACAGCAGUGGGACUACGGCUCACUUGACACUGCACAAUGAAGAGCUGCAUAAGUAUCCUUUUAUUCAGCCUUUUCCAAAUUAAAAGCAUGUCAAUGUAAAUAUGGAAACGUUUUUCGCACACUGUGUUGAAACUAAUUGCCCAUUUUAAAUGUGUCAGCUGAAACAU